AGGGAAAUGACUGAGGAAUCACCACUAAAGAAGAGGAGAAUGUCCAUCUUUUUGGUUGCAUCAUCUGAUUCAGACACAGAUGAGGAAGCUUAGUCCA
Molecule: long non-coding RNA, 97 nt
Organism: Thalassophryne amazonica
Lineage: Eukaryota; Metazoa; Chordata; Actinopteri; Batrachoidiformes; Batrachoididae
Exons: 3
Source: RefSeq, a predicted model, not a curated record